This 467-nucleotide ribosomal RNA is filed under the name uncultured bacterium. Its description in RNAcentral is "partial 16S ribosomal RNA". It matches the Rfam family "Bacterial small subunit ribosomal RNA", at positions 28 to 507 of the family's 1533-position model. The record is from RNAcentral.
GACGAACGCUGGCGGCGUGCUUAACACAUGCAAGUCGAACGGAAAGGCCUCUUUCGGGGGGUACUCGAGUGGCGAACGGGUGAGUAACACGUGAGUAACCUGCCCUUGACUUUGGGAUAACUUCAGGAAACUGGGGCUAAUACCGGAUAGGAGCUCCUGCUGCAUGGUGGGGGUUGGAAAGUUUCGGCGGUUGGGGAUGGACUCGCGGCUUAUCAGCUUGUUGGUGGGGUAGUGGCUUACCAAGGCUUUGACGGGUAGCCGGCCUGAGAGGGUGACCGGCCACAUUGGGACUGAGAUACGGCCCAGACUCCUACGGGAGGCAGCAGUGGGGAAUAUUGCACAAUGGGUGGAAGCCUGAUGCAGCAACGCCGUGUGCGGGGUGACGGCCUUCGGGUUGUAAACCGCUUUCGCUCAUGACGAAGCUUUGUGUGACGGUAGUGGGUAAGGAAGCACCGGCUAACUACGUG